AUUGAACGCUGGCGGCAUGCCUUACACAUGCAAGUCGAACGGUAACAGGUUAAGCUGACGAGUGGCGAACGGGUGAGUAAUGUAUCGGAACGUGCCCAGUCGUGGGGGAUAACUGCUCGAAAGAGCAGCUAAUACCGCAUACGACCUGAGGGUGAAAGCGGGGGAUCGCAAGACCUCGCGCGAUUGGAGCGGCCGAUAUCAGAUUAGGUAGUUGGUGAGGUAAAGGCUCACCAAGCCGACGAUCUGUAGCUGGUCUGAGAGGACGACCAGCCACACUGGGACUGAGACACGGCCCAGACUCCUACGGGAGGCAGCAGUGGGGAAUUUUGGACAAUGGGCGCAAGCCUGAUCCAGCCAUGCCGCGUGCGGGAAGAAGGCCUUCGGGUUGUAAACCGCUUUUGUCAGGGAAGAAAAGGUUCUGGCUAAUACCUGGGACUCAUGACGGUACCUGAAGAAUAAGCACCGGCUAACCACGUG
Molecule: ribosomal RNA, 477 nt
Filed under: uncultured bacterium
Lineage: Bacteria
Description: partial 16S ribosomal RNA
Rfam family: Bacterial small subunit ribosomal RNA
Source: RNAcentral